GAUGAAGAACGUAGUAAAAUGCGAUAAGUAAUGUGAAUUGCAGAAUUCAGUGAAUCAUCGAAUCUUUGAACGCACAUUGCGCCCGCCAGUAUUCUGGCGGGCAUGCCUGUUCGAGCGUCAUUUCAACCCUCAAGCACAGCUUGGUGUUGGGACUCGCGUUAAUUCGCGUUCCCCAAAUUGAUUGGCGGUCACGUCGAGCUUCCAUAGCGUAGUAGUAAAACCCUCGUUACUGGUAAUCGUCGCGGCCACGCCGUUAAACCCCAACUUCUGAAUGUUGACCUCGGAUCAGGUAGGAAUACCCGCUGAACUUAAGCAUAUCAAUAAGCGGAGGAA
Molecule: unclassified non-coding RNA, 333 nt
Filed under: soil metagenome
Description: partial contains 5.8S ribosomal RNA, internal transcribed spacer 2, and large subunit ribosomal RNA
Rfam family: 5.8S ribosomal RNA (bases 1-120)
Source: RNAcentral